Molecule: small RNA, 121 nt
Filed under: Marmota monax (woodchuck)
Lineage: Eukaryota; Metazoa; Chordata; Mammalia; Rodentia; Sciuridae
Source: RNAcentral
GCUGGGCACUGUGGUGCCUGCCUGUAAUCCCAGCGGCUUGGGAGGCUGAGGCAGGAGGAUCGUUCAAAACCAGCCUCAGCAAAAGCGAGGCGCUAAGCAACUCAGUGAGACCCUGUCUCUA